This 203-nucleotide ribosomal RNA is filed under the name Triticum aestivum (bread wheat). Its description in RNAcentral is "partial small subunit ribosomal RNA". Lineage: Eukaryota; Viridiplantae; Streptophyta; Magnoliopsida; Poales; Poaceae. The record is from RNAcentral.
UCCAGAUCCAAGUGGUAGUAUCAGGGCCCUUAGCUAGUGUUCUUGAGAAAUGGCCGGGUCUGGCCCAUUCCUCAAAAGAUGUUUUUACAGGAUCCCUAUCCACAACAAUUUUUACUUCUGGUUCCGGCGAACGAAUAAUCAUUAAGUCCUCCUCUUUCCGGACAAGACAUACAAAGAGACCCGCCAACUGUCUUUUUAGUGAA